RNAcentral lists this ribosomal RNA (490 nucleotides) under uncultured bacterium. RNAcentral's name for it is "partial 16S ribosomal RNA". It matches the Rfam family "Bacterial small subunit ribosomal RNA", at positions 30 to 507 of the family's 1533-position model. The record is from RNAcentral.
AUUGAACGCUGGCGGCAGGCCUAACACAUGCAAGUCGAACGGUAACAGGAAGCAGCUUGCUGUUUCGCUGACGAGUGGCGGACGGGUGAGUAAUGUCUGGGAAACUGCCUGAUGGAGGGGGAUAACUACUGGAAACGGUAGCUAAUACCGCAUAACGUCGCAAGACCAAAGAGGGGGACCUUCGGGCCUCUUGCCAUCGGAUGUGCCCAGAUGGGAUUAGCUAGUAGGUGGGGUAACGGCUCACCUAGGCGACGAUCCCUAGCUGGUCUGAGAGGAUGACCAGCCACACUGGAACUGAGACACGGUCCAGACUCCUACGGGAGGCAGCAGUGGGGAAUAUUGCACAAUGGGCGCAAGCCUGAUGCAGCCAUGCCGCGUGUAUGAAGAAGGCCUUCGGGUUGUAAAGUACUUUCAGCGGGGAGGAAGGGAGUAAAGUUAAUACCUUUACUCAUUGACGUUACCCGCAGAAGAAGCACCGGCUAACUCCGUG